CCUGCCCCUAGAGUCAGUUCUGGUGUGGAUGCUGUGUCACAUGUGCAUCACUAGGUGGCAAAAAGAGGCUAUGUUUAUACUCACUGUGUUCUGACUUUUGAAUAUCUUAAGGAUUGGCUUAACAUU
Small nucleolar RNA from Mastomys coucha (southern multimammate mouse), 126 nucleotides. RefSeq annotates it as small nucleolar RNA SNORA17. The transcript has a single exon. NCBI's taxonomy places the organism in Eukaryota, Metazoa, Chordata, Mammalia, Rodentia, Muridae. The record is from RefSeq and is a predicted model, not a curated record.